This 484-nucleotide ribosomal RNA is filed under the name uncultured bacterium. RNAcentral describes it as "partial 16S ribosomal RNA". It matches the Rfam family "Bacterial small subunit ribosomal RNA", at positions 30 to 507 of the family's 1533-position model. The record is from RNAcentral.
AUUGAACGCUGGCGGCAUGCUUUACACAUGCAAGUCGAACGGCAGCACGGGCUUCGGCCUGGUGGCGAGUGGCGAACGGGUGAGUAAUAUAUCGGAACGUACCCAGAAGUGGGGGAUAACGUAGCGAAAGUUACGCUAAUACCGCAUCCGAUCUAUGGAUGAAAGCAGGGGACCGCAAGGCCUUGUGCUCCUGGAGCGGCCGAUAUCUGAUUAGCUAGUUGGUGAGGUAAAGGCUCACCAAGGCGACGAUCAGUAGCUGGUCUGAGAGGACGACCAGCCACACUGGAACUGAGACACGGUCCAGACUCCUACGGGAGGCAGCAGUGGGGAAUUUUGGACAAUGGGCGCAAGCCUGAUCCAGCAAUGCCGCGUGAGUGAAGAAGGCCUUCGGGUUGUAAAGCUCUUUUGUCAGGGAAGAAACGGUAGAGGCUAAUAUCCUUUGCUAAUGACGGUACCUGAAGAAUAAGCACCGGCUAACUACGUG